UACGGAGGAUGCGAGCGUUAUCCGGAUUUAUUGGGUUUAAAGGGUGCGUAGGCGGACUGUCAAGUCAGCGGUAAAAUUGAGAGGCUCAACCUCUUCCCGCCGUUGAAACUAGUGGUCUUGAGUGGAUGAGAAGUACGCGGAAUGCGUGGUGUAGCGGUGAAAUGCAUAGAUAUCACGCAGAACUCCGAUUGCGAAGGCAGCGUACCGGCAUCCAACUGACGCUGAGGCACGAAAGCGUGGGGAUCAAACAGG
RNAcentral lists this ribosomal RNA (252 nucleotides) under uncultured bacterium. Its description in RNAcentral is "partial 16S ribosomal RNA". It matches the Rfam family "Bacterial small subunit ribosomal RNA", at positions 524 to 776 of the family's 1533-position model. The record is from RNAcentral.